This is a non-coding RNA of Camelina sativa (false flax), 3001 nucleotides long. The record is from RefSeq and is a predicted model, not a curated record. Lineage: Eukaryota; Viridiplantae; Streptophyta; Magnoliopsida; Brassicales; Brassicaceae.
UGCAAAAUUUGAGAAGCACACGAGUGAUUUUUAACCCAAAAAAAAAACAAAAAAUGACAAGCAUGGUUUUGUUUCUCUUAUUUUCUUUCAGUGCUCUCAUGUUACUUGGAGCAUAUGGUUUUACCGAUGAAAGUGAUAAGAAAGCUUUGGUCGACUUCAAGUCUCAAGUUGCUGAAGAAAGAAGAGUUGUUUUGUCCUCAUGGAAUAACUCUUCCCCUCUCUACAACUGGAAAGGAGUUACAUGCGGCCUCAAACACAAGAGAGUUACCGGUUUGAACCUCACAGGGUUCCAGUUGGGCGGAGUGAUAUCAGCAUCUAUUGGUAAUCUUUCAUUUCUCAUAUCACUUAAUCUCUCUGAUAACUCUUUCGGUGGUACCAUCCCUCACGAGGUGGGAAAUUUGUUUAGACUUGAGUACUUGGAUAUGAGCUUUAAUAAUCUUGGAGGAGAGAUUCCAGUAAAUGUAUUUAACUGCUCUAGAUUGUUGCAACUUCGUUUGCACUCAAAUCAUCUUGAAGGAAGUGUUCCUUUAGAGCUAGGGUCAUUGACGAAGCUUGUCUUUGUAUCUCUUGCUAAAAACAACUUGAAAGGGAAGCUCCCUGCCUCUAUAGGAAACUUGACAUCAAUCAUGCAAGUUAACUUUGCGGCUAACUAUCUAGAAGGAGAAAUUCCGGGUGAUAUAGCUAGAUUGACUCACAUGUUCUUUCUUGUUUUAGCAGAGAACAACUUCUCUGGUGUUUUCCCUCCUGCACUAUACAAUUUAUCGUCGCUUGAGUAUUUAUACUUAGAGGCUAAUUAUUUCUCGGGUGGCCUGAGACCUGAUUUUGGUAAGCUGCUACCAAACUUACAGUUUUUACAUCUGGGAAGAAAUUAUUUCAAAGGAGCCAUUCCAGCAACACUUGCCAAUAUCUCGACUCUUCAACUCUUGUCACUCAAUGACAACAAUCUGAUAGGAAGUAUUCUUCCUGGCUUGGGAAGAUUACAGAAUUUGCAAAUCCUGUCUUUUUCUUAUAAUCUUUUGGGGAGUCAAUCGUUUGGAGAUUUAGAAUUCCUCGGUGCUUUAACGAACUGCACCCAACUGAAAACUUUAGACGUUAGUGGAAAUAGGCUUGGAGGUCACUUGCCUACCUCCACUGCAAAUCUGUCCAUAAACCUCCGAGAUUUAGGCCUUGGAGCAAAUUUCAUAUCUGGAAGCAUUCCUCACGAUAUUGGGAAGCUGGUAAGCCUACAAAAACUUUUGUUACAAGAAAAUCAGUUAGCAGGCCUACUCCCAACCUCUAUUGGCAAGCUUCUACAAUUGGAAAUAUUUGCUCUCAGUUCAAAUAGUAUAUCAGGAGAGAUACCAUCUUUCUUAGGAAACAUCACUCGGUUGGACGUGCUAUUCUUGGAAAACAAUAGCUUUGAAGGAACCAUUCCUCUAAGUCUUAGUAAUUGUACUUCCCUACGGUACUUAAUGGUUGGGCCAAAUAAGUUGCAUGGGACUAUACCUAAGGGAAUUAUGGGAAUGCAAUCCCUAGUUGAACUACAUAUGUCAGGUAGUUCUUUGACCGGCACUCUACCAGAAGAAAUUGGAGGACUUAAACAUCCGGACUAUCUGCUGCGCGUAAUAAAUUAUCCGGACAACUUCCACACUCCUUGGGAAAUUGUCUCUCGAUGGAAUUACUUUCGCUGCAAGGUAAUCAUUUUGAUGGACCGAUUCCGGAUAUAAGAGGGUUAAAGGGUCUUAAAAGAGUUGAUUUCUCCAAUAAUAAUCUCUUCGGAAGUAUACCUGCUUAUCUUGCAAACUUUUCUUCAUUGGUGUAUCUCAAUCUCUCUAAUAACAACUUGGUGGGAAGUGUGCCAACAGAAGGAAAUUUUCGAAAUGCUUCUAUUGUUUCAGUAUUUGGAAACAAAAAUCUUUGUGGAGGCAUCAAGGAGUUCAAACUAAAGCCAUGCAUCAAUGAAGCACCAUCAACGGGAUCAAAGCAUUCCUCCUCUCUUCCGAAGAAAAUAGUGAUCGGGGUCGUCGUAUGCAUUGCUUUGCUUUUGCUGCUCUUAGUAGCUUCAUUUUCUCUAUGUCAAUUCAGAAAAAGAAAGAAGAACCGGGAAAAUAAUGAUCCAACUCCUUCCACAGUGGAGGUUUUACAUGACAAUAUAAGUUAUGGAGAGAUCCUAAAUGCGACUGAUGGCUUCUCUUCGAGCAAUAUGAUUGGGUCAGGAAGUUUUGGUACGGUGUUUAAAGCCUUUCUCCCUGCAGAGAACAAAGUUGUUGCUGUGAAAGUUCUAAACAUGCAGAGACGUGGAGCAAUGAAGAGCUUUAUGGCAGAAUGUGAAUCCAUGAAGGACAUACGACAUUGUAAUCUUGUGAAACUAUUGACGGCUUGUUCGAGUAUUGAUUUUCAAGGGAACGAGUUCAGAGCUCUCAUCUAUGAGUUCAUGCCUAAUGGAAGCCUUGAUAUGUGGCUGCACCCAGAGGAAGUAGAAGAGAUUCGUAGGCCCUCAAGAACUUUGACACUUCUUGAAAGGCUCAACAUUGCCAUUGACGUGGCUUCUGUUUUGGACUAUCUUCACGUUCAUUGUUAUGAACCUAUCGCUCAUUAUGAUAUUAAGCCAAGCAAUAUCCUCCUAGACGAUGAUUUGAUUUCCCAUGUUAGCGACUUUGGUCUCGCUCGUCUUCUCCUCAAGUUCGAUCAAGAGUCUUUCUAUAACCAACUAAGCUCAGCUGGUGUUAGAGGAACCAUCGACUACGCCGCACCAGAAUAUGGAAUGGGAGGACAGCCAUCAAUACAUGGUGAUGUAUAUGUUGGAUAAUUCCAACUUGAAGAACAAGCUAUCUCCUAGGAAGUUGCCUUAAGAGAUAGAAUAGGAAAAGGAAAAGUUCCUAAAGUCUUAAGUUGUAAUAUGUUAAUCCUAAUAGGUUUAGGAAAAGAUGAAACAUAUAAAUAUAUGAGUCUAUGGAGAGGUGUUCCAUGAGACCAGAGAGACUUGAGAGAUUUAGUUUUUGAGAAGUUUUCUAAAUCAAUA